This 29-nucleotide non-coding RNA is filed under the name Mus musculus (house mouse). Lineage: Eukaryota; Metazoa; Chordata; Mammalia; Rodentia; Muridae. The record is from RNAcentral.
UACUGUUCUUUAGUAGUUUCUUUUGCUGG